This 495-nucleotide ribosomal RNA is filed under the name uncultured bacterium. RNAcentral's name for it is "partial 16S ribosomal RNA". It matches the Rfam family "Bacterial small subunit ribosomal RNA", at positions 28 to 507 of the family's 1533-position model. The record is from RNAcentral.
GACGAACGCUGGCGGCGUGCCUAAUACAUGCAAGUAGAACGCUGAAGGAGGAGCUUGCUCUUCUGGAUGAGUUGCGAACGGGUGAGUAACGCGUAGGUAACCUGCCUGGUAGCGGGGGAUAACUAUUGGAAACGAUAGCUAAUACCGCAUAACAGUAGAUGUUGCAUGACAUUUACUUAAAAGGUGCAAUUGCAUCACUACCAGAUGGACCUGCGUUGUAUUAGCUAGUUGGUGGGGUAACGGCUCACCAAGGCGACGAUACAUAGCCGACCUGAGAGGGUGAUCGGCCACACUGGGACUGAGACACGGCCCAGACUCCUACGGGAGGCAGCAGUAGGGAAUCUUCGGCAAUGGACGGAAGUCUGACCGAGCAACGCCGCGUGAGUGAAGAAGGUUUUCGGAUCGUAAAGCUCUGUUGUAAGAGAAGAACGAGUGUGAGAGUGGAAAGUUCACACUGUGACGGUACCUUACCAGAAAGGGACGGCUAACUACGUG